AUUCGUACCUGGGACUUUGUUACAUGGCUUGGUUUUGUGGCGUCAGUUCACAACAAGUGCGCGAGCGCAGGUGGUGAUGGCGACAACAAACGGAUCGCCGGAAGGUAAGCCUCGUUAGGUUAGGCAGGACCAUAACAGGAGGAUGGCUAGCCAGGCCGGCACUCAAGCUGUGCUGUCUCUGCCGUCCGAAACCAACGACGGACGGGCGCCCACACCUCCACCCGAAGUUCCGGAGAACGGGUUCAACACCAUGCGGCUGGUCUUCUACACAGCUCCAGCCAUCAUGUGCGCUUUGUUAUUAGUCGUUGCCAUUGGAGUCUGCGUCGUCGUUUUCAACAUUCCCGACCUGGGCUUCAUUCCGGGGCUGGGCAUCUACGAAAGGCGAGGACUGGUUGACCAGAACGACUUUCUGAACAGGACGGCUCUUAGAAACGUCUCGACCUCCGUGGAUACUACGGUGCUGAGCGGUGACGUCGUUUCGGGUAUCACAGUUGACGACAACAUAGAAAACAUGGAAGACGCGACAGGGACGGCUAUAUCACAGGACACGAAAGGUUUCAAGUCAGCAAAAACGACCCAAGGCGGUGGGCGCGCAGGGCCCCUCUACCAGUAACUAGAGUUCUUAGAUCGUUGAUACAUCAGGACACUGUGGUUGAGAGCAAUACGAAGUAUAUGGAGAUGAUAUCGUUGAAUGCAUGUACGUUUUCGUGGGAGCUGGAACCUAUACUGAGGGUUCUAUUGAGCAGCUUGUGCAAUGCUCGCGUUUUGCUGGUUUUCAAAGUACUGCAUCGCCUGGUUGAUAAGAAUGGGAUGAAAGUGAAACAACGGAGCUCCAUGUUCGUGGUUUGCGUGCAACAGUAGCUAUUAUGCGGACGACCAUGCGUAGAAUUAAACUCGUGAAAUAAAGUCCUACGUGAAGGCAGGAAAA
Long non-coding RNA from Ornithodoros turicata, 928 nucleotides. RefSeq lists it as uncharacterized. The transcript is spliced from 2 exons. Lineage: Eukaryota; Metazoa; Arthropoda; Arachnida; Ixodida; Argasidae. The record is from RefSeq and is a predicted model, not a curated record.